GCCCGUGGCUCAAUGGUAGAGCGUUUGUCUCAAAUAACAAAAAUCACGGAUUCGAAUCCCAUGGGUG
This 67-nucleotide transfer RNA is filed under the name Schistocephalus solidus. It matches the Rfam family "tRNA". From Rfam's summary of the family: Transfer RNA (tRNA) molecules are approximately 80 nucleotides in length. Their secondary structure includes four short double-helical elements and three loops (D, anti-codon, and T loops). Further hydrogen bonds mediate the characteristic L-shaped molecular structure. tRNAs have two regions of fundamental functional importance: the anti-codon, which is responsible for specific mRNA codon recognition, and the 3' end, to which the tRNAs corresponding amino acid is attached (by aminoacyl-tRNA synthetases). tRNAs cope with the degeneracy of the genetic code in two manners: having more than one tRNA (with a specific anti-codon) for a particular amino acid; and 'wobble' base-pairing, i.e. permitting non-standard base-pairing at the 3rd anti-codon position. Lineage: Eukaryota; Metazoa; Platyhelminthes; Cestoda; Diphyllobothriidea; Diphyllobothriidae. The record is from Rfam by way of RNAcentral.